Molecule: ribosomal RNA, 378 nt
Filed under: bacterium A5T_VP6_H7
Lineage: Bacteria
Description: partial 16S ribosomal RNA
Rfam family: Bacterial small subunit ribosomal RNA
Source: RNAcentral
UACUACGGGAGGCAGCAGUGGGGAAUCUUGGACAAUGGGGGCAACCCUGAUCCACCCAUGCCGCGUGAGUGAUGAAGGCCUUAGGGUCGUAAAGCUCUUUCGCCUGUGAAAAUAAUGACGGUAGCAGGUAAAGAAACCCCGGCUAACUCCGUGCCAACAGCCGCGGUAAUACGGAGGGGGUUAGCGUUGUUCGGAAUUACUGGGCGUAAAGCGCACUUAGGCGGACUAAAAAAUUGGGGGUGAAAUCUCCGGGGGUUCACCCCCGGAAACUGCCUCCAAAAAUAAUCUGUUUAAAGUUUCUAGAGAGGGGGGGUGGGAAUUCCCCAGGGUAGGAGGGUGAAAUUCCAUAAAUAUUCUGAAGGAAACAACCUUUGGUCG